ACUCAUCAAGCCCUGCCUAUAAAGGAAGCAGGAAGUUAAGGGUUCCUUCUUUCAUCUUCAAGGCUGCACACAGCAGGCAGCAACAGAAAUUUUUCACUCCUUAUUCAAUCUGGUGAAUAAAUGAAAAGAGGAGUUUGUCUGACUGUCAACCUACGAGCACCAAACACGUGGAGGACUGUACACACACCUGUGGAGGAUGUAGAGGACCAUCUCUUGGCUUACUGCACUGGCAGCGUGAUGACGUAACCUGCAGCCGAACGAGUCGAGUGACGUGAGGUCGGCUCCCUCCAGGUGGGGCUCCCUCCAGGUGCGGCUCCUGCAGAUGAUGGUGAUUCAAUUCAAAGACACAUGGGCAGCCUGACCAAAACAAGACAAAGAGCUGUUAGCAUGUAUGCUACACCACGCUGCCUCACCUGCUUCCUUCAACAUUUGGUGUUUCCUCGCUCUGAACUGUGAAGAGUAGGAUCUGUGCUGCAGCUGGAAGGAUUUUCUUCAGAUUAAAGUUUACUUGAUAGCUGUUUUAGUUUCCUUUCAGUCAUAGUUUGUUGUUUUUAUCUUUCAGCUAUAGAUUUAGUUUAAAGUCUGUUUUCUUUAAUUUUCAUUUGCAGUUUUCUCUUAACACACUUUGAUAACACAAUUUAAUAAUUUUAAAGUCUUAAUUUGUUUCAUGUUUGUGUUGUCAGCAUCUUUAAUUCCUAAUAGAUGUUUUGUUGUAGUUGUUUCCUUCUUUGUCACAAAGCUGUGACAUGUUUUCAUUUGAAGUUUGGAUUUUUUUUAUAAUAUUGAUAAAUUUCCAUUAGGAAACAUGCUUACUGGGUAGAUAACCAGACAAGUUUCCUCAGAACAAUGAAAGCUGUAAGCUACUAUAAAUAAAACACCUGGCAGAGAACCAGAACAUAAUUACAGAAGUCACUGAUGCAGAGUGGACAGCAGUAGUUUUAUUACAAUAAAAUAUUGAACAGCCAUGACCUCUGUUUUUUG
This is a non-coding RNA of Labrus bergylta (ballan wrasse), 981 nucleotides long. Lineage: Eukaryota; Metazoa; Chordata; Actinopteri; Labriformes; Labridae. The record is from RefSeq and is a predicted model, not a curated record.